This 805-nucleotide ribosomal RNA is filed under the name Armillaria sp. RP8306. RNAcentral's name for it is "eukaryotic LSU rRNA". The stretch from base 306 to 459 matches the Rfam family "5.8S ribosomal RNA". The record is from RNAcentral. Lineage: Eukaryota; Fungi; Basidiomycota; Agaricomycetes; Agaricales; Physalacriaceae.
GCGGAAGGAUCAUUAUUGAGACAUGAAUCGUAGCAUUGAGAACUGUUGCUGACCUGUUAAAGGGUAUGUGCACGUUGUGAGUGUUGCGUUUUAUUCUUUUUUCCCUGUGCACGUUUGUAGACUUGGUUGUUGAGUGGUUAGAAGGGUUGCUGAAAAGCUCUCUUUGCUUAGGAUUUCGCUCUUGAAGGGUUGCUGCAAAGCUCCCUUUGCCUAGGAUUUCACUAAGCUUGUCAGGUCUAUGUCUAUAAUCUCUUGUAUGUAUAGAAUGUGUUGUUUAUAGGACGCAAGUCCUUUAAAUGUUAUACAACUUUCAACAACGGAUCUCUUGGCUCUCGCAUCGAUGAAGAACGCAGCGAAAUGCGAUAACUAAUGUGAAUUGCAGAAUUCAGUGAAUCAUCGAGUCUUUGAACGCACCUUGCGCCCUUUGGUAUUCCAAAGGGCAUGCCUGUUUGAGUGUCAUUAAAUUCUCAAGCCUUUGCAUUUGUGCUAAGGAUUGGAUAUGGGGGUUGCUGGUCUCUAACGAGAUCAGCUCCUCUGAAAUGCAUUAGCAGAAACCGUUUGACGUUGAGUGCUAGGCUGUGAUAAUAUCUACAGCUUGGUAGUCGUGUCAGAAUACAAGUCAAGGAUCGGUUCGGAGGGUGCUUAACGGCUCCUUCUGCUUUCUCUCUUUGCGGGGAGAUAGUUGUCCGAUUUUUGUUACUUGUAGAAGGAUUCAGCUUCUAACGGUCCAUUGAGUUGGACAAUUUAUUGACUAUUUGACCUCAAAUCAGGUAGGACUACCCGCUGAACUUAAGCAUAUCAUAAA